GCCUGGAUAGCUCAGUUGGUUAAAGCAUGGUGCUGAUCACGCCAAGGUUGCAGGUUCGAUCCCCAACAGCUGCA
Podarcis lilfordi (Lilford's wall lizard) is the source of this 74-nucleotide non-coding RNA. NCBI's taxonomy places the organism in Eukaryota, Metazoa, Chordata, Lepidosauria, Squamata, Lacertidae. The record is from the annotation of a GenBank genome assembly.